GGAUGCGAUCGUACCAGCACUAAAGCACCGGAUCCCAUCAGAACUCUGAAGUUAAGCGUGCUUGGGCGAGAGUAGUACUAGGAUGGUGACCUCCUGGGAAGUCCUCGUGUUGCAUUCC
Molecule: ribosomal RNA, 118 nt
Filed under: Triticum aestivum (bread wheat)
Lineage: Eukaryota; Viridiplantae; Streptophyta; Magnoliopsida; Poales; Poaceae
Also listed under: 1 other name
Source: RNAcentral